AUUGGAAUGAUGGGAAUUUAAACCUCUUCCAGAGUAUCAAUUGGAGGGCAAGUCUGGUGCCAGCAGCCGCGGUAAUUCCAGCUCCAAUAGCGUAUAUUAAAAUUGUUGCAGUUAAAAAGCUCGUAGUUGAAUUUCUGCUGCAUUGUUUCUUCUCAUGUCGAGUGAUUCAUUGUGGCUUAUUUCGGAUUGUUUUUUACUUUCCGGAUGAUUACUUUGAGAAAAUUAGAGUGCUCAAAGCAGGCUUUUGCCUUGAAUAGUUUAGCAUGGAAUAAUAAAGUAGGACUUUGGUUCUAUUUUGUUGGUUUUAGGUACCAAAGUAAUGGUUAAUAGGAACAGUUGGGGGCAUUCGUAUUUAACUGUCAGAGGUGAAAUUCUUAGAUUUGUUAAAGACGAACUACUGCGAAAGCAUUUGCCAAGGAUGUUUUCAUUAAUCAAGAACGAAAGUUAGGGGAUCGAAGA
This 459-nucleotide ribosomal RNA is filed under the name Theileria sp. MK. Its description in RNAcentral is "SSU rRNA". It matches the Rfam family "Eukaryotic small subunit ribosomal RNA", at positions 508 to 1004 of the family's 1831-position model. The record is from RNAcentral. Lineage: Eukaryota; Apicomplexa; Aconoidasida; Piroplasmida; Theileriidae.